GACGAACGCUGGCGGCGUGCUUAACACAUGCAAGUCGAACGGAAAGGCUCCAGCUUGCUGGAGUACUCGAGUGGCGAACGGGUGAGUAACACGUGGGUGAUCUGCCCUGCACUUCGGGAUAAGCCUGGGAAACUGGGUCUAAUACCGGAUAGGACCGCACUUUGGUGUGUGUGGUGGAAAGGUUUUUCUGGUGUGGGAUGAGCUCGCGGCCUAUCAGUUUGUUGGUGGGGUAAUGGCCUACCAAGACGGCGACGGGUAGCCGGCCUGAGAGGGUGGACGGUCACAUUGGGACUGAGAUACGGCCCAGACUCCUACGGGAGGCAGCAGUGGGGAAUAUUGCACAAUGGGGGAAACCCUGAUGCAGCGACGCCGCGUGGGGGAUGAAGGCCUUCGGGUUGUAAAAUCCUUUCGCUAGGGACGAAGCUUUUUGUGACGGUACCUGGAGAAGAAGCACCGGCUAACUACGUG
RNAcentral lists this ribosomal RNA (468 nucleotides) under uncultured bacterium. RNAcentral describes it as "partial 16S ribosomal RNA". It matches the Rfam family "Bacterial small subunit ribosomal RNA", at positions 28 to 507 of the family's 1533-position model. The record is from RNAcentral.